AGCGUUACGCCGGUGAAGUAUCAGCCGCUUGGCUAGUUGAUCGCACCAGUCUGUCUUGAAGGUUUAACGUGUACGGUAGUGUUGUGUUUGCCCCAUCAUCAUAAUGGGUGGUGGUUUAUUGCCUAUGCACCGUGUGUGCGGCUUGUUAACAGUGCUGCUCGCAGCGUCCGCAGUUGCUGGGGAUGACGCAAUGGUGCGACGCUUUCCGGAAGUGUUCCAGUUCGGUGUCGGUACGUCCGCUUACCAGAUCGAGGGAGGCUGGAACGAGGAUGGCAAGGGUGAAUCGAUCUGGGACCGGCUUUCGCACGCCAUACCGACGAAGAUUGCGGACGGUUCGAAUGGGGAUGUGGCGUGCGACAGCUACCACCAGUGGAAGCGGGACGUCCAGAUGGUGAAGGAGCUGGGUGUGCAGUACUAUCGGUUUUCGCUUUCCUGGCCCCGCAUUAUGCCGACCGGGUUGAGCAAUAGCGUGAACGUGAAAGGGCUCGAGUACUACAACAAUCUGAUCGAUGAGCUGCUUCGGUAUGGAAUACAGCCGAUGGUGACGCUGUACCAUUGGGAUCUUCCCCAGCGAUUGCAGGAACUGGGCGGCUGGCUGAACCCGGACAUUGCACAGUACUUUGAGGAGUUUGCGAAGGUCGCGUUCAGUAGCUUCGGUGACCGGGUACGGUUGUGGACGACGAUCAACGAACCGUGGCACAUCUGUGAGAAUGGGUAUGGGCGUGAGGAGAUGGCACCGGGGUAUGAUUUUCCUGGGGUGCCGGCGUACAAGUGCGGCCAUAACAUACUGCGUGCCCAUGCCGAAGUUGUCCGGCUGUAUCGUACGGCGUUUGCGGAGGUUCAAAAGGGGAAGAUCGGUAUUUCGCUGGAUGCUCGAUGGCCGGAACCGGAACACAUGACGUCGGAGGAUGAUUUGGAAGCUUCCGAUUGGCAGCUACAGUUUCAUCUUGGUUGGUUUGCACAUCCCAUAUUCAGUGUGGAAGGCGAUUAUCCGGCCAUAAUGAAGGAACGGAUAGGGAAUUUGAGUGCAGAGCAAGGUUUUCCCCAGUCCCGGUUGUCCGUAUUUACACCACGCGAGCUAGAGCUUCUACGAGGAUCCUCGGAUUUCUUCGCACUAAACACCUACACGUCGUCGCUGGUGCGCAAGAACGAUCCGGAGAACACGGCCGGCUAUCCCGUGCCUUCCUAUCUGCACGAUAUGGGCGUAGUAGAAUUUGCCGAUCCCGAUUGGCCCACAGCAGAGGAAACUUCCUGGAUAAAGAUAGUACCGUUCGGGUUGCAUAAACUGUUAAACUGGAUCAAGGAUAGCUACAACAGCCCGAUCAUCUACAUUACGGAGAACGGUAUCGGUUCCGGUCCCGGGACGAAAGAUCCACAGCGUGUGGAUUACUUCAACUACUAUCUCAACUCGGUACUGAACGCCAUCGAAGAUGGGUGUGACGUGCGCUUGUACGUGGCCUGGAGCCUGAUGGACAAUUUCGAGUGGAGAGAUGGUUACACACAAAAGUUUGGCCUGUACUACGUCGAUUUUGACGACCCGCAGCGUACACGGUACGGGAAGGUAUCGUCGAAAGUGUUCAGACGCAUCGUGAAAACGCGUACGAUCGAUUUUAACUACCAUCCAGAGCCGGACGUCUAUCUUACGGGCAACAAAGCUAGAGGAAUCUUACCACUGCCCGAUCUGUUCGUGUUCGCUUCGACAACCCUGGUGGCGAUGUGUGCGCGACGUAUUUGUGCGAUGUUUUUCUAGCGUGCGGUGUUUUUACGUUGAUUUCAACGGUUGCAGCUAACUGGUGCAGUUUUUUACUGGUGGUAGAUUAAAAAAUUCCACUUUCAAUGUAGAGCAACCAUUUGCCGCGAGUGCAUGUAGGACAGUUUUACUUGCAACGGAAAUCAACGGAACGUCUUCGUAUCGGUCGGUUAGCUCACGUCAUGCAGAUGUCUCACUACAUGCAAAACAAUGCUUAUGUCGCUUGAAUUGAUGGAUGAAACUAAUGUAUCGGUAACCGUCGUCAAAUCGGUCCGUGAUGCGCUUCGUACUUCCGUCUUGCAAGAUGUGCCUUUCGAUACAGUUCCCACACGAAGGCGUACAAAAUACGGUAGGAAAAUAGGGGACAUAUUUUCAUCAAGGCGAGUAUUGUCAUAAAUUUUUGUUUCUUCA
This is an RNA transcript of Anopheles stephensi (Asian malaria mosquito), 2161 nucleotides long. It is a transcript of the gene named myrosinase 1-like, with no coding region annotated. NCBI's taxonomy places the organism in Eukaryota, Metazoa, Arthropoda, Insecta, Diptera, Culicidae. The record is from RefSeq and is a predicted model, not a curated record. The transcript is spliced from 6 exons.